UACAGAGGGGGCAAGCGUUAUUCGGAAUUAUUGGGCGUAAAGGGCGCGUAGGCGGCUUUGCAAGUGACGGGUGAAAUCCCUCGGCUUAACCGAGGAACUGCCUGUCAGACUGCAUGGCUUGAGACCGGGAGAGGUGAGUGGAAUUCCCAGUGUAGCGGUGAAAUGCGUAGAUAUUGGGGGGAACACCGGUGGCGAAGGCGGCUUCCUGGACCGACACUGACGCUGAGGCGCGAAAGCUAGGGGAGCAAACGGG
Molecule: ribosomal RNA, 253 nt
Filed under: uncultured bacterium
Lineage: Bacteria
Description: partial 16S ribosomal RNA
Rfam family: Bacterial small subunit ribosomal RNA
Source: RNAcentral